GAAGGGAAGAGGAGAGGGAGGGAAAGGGUCACCACCGUGACACCGCCGCUGUUGUCGCCAUGUUGCAGUGGUGUUUUGUUGUUUGGGGUUUUUUUGCCUAAGUAGAGAGAGAACGUGAAGAGAGAGAAAGAAGGGGAGAGAGAAGAGAGAGGAGCGGUGACCAAAGGGUCACUACCACGGCCACCAUAGUUUUUGUUCGUGAUUGGUUCCGAUUGAACUAUUUGGGCAAUAAUCCUCUCUUGAAACAUGUUUUCCUCCUUUAUACCUUAGCCCUCUUAAAGAAAAUGUCAGGGCGGUGACCGGAGGGUCACCACCGUUGGAUUAAGUCCGUCUUGGCGACGACGAUUUUUAAACCCUGCGAUGAUGUUGGCUUGCUACCCGGUAUGGCAACUCCGGUUGCAACCGUCGCGCCACUGACCACCGGUGGAUUAAGUCUGUCUUGGCGACGACGAUUUUUAAGCCCUGCGAUGAUGUUGGCUUGCUACCUGGUAUGGCAACUCCGGUUGCAACCGUCGCGCCACUGAGAUGGUUCAACGACGAUGAUGAUCUUCUCAGAUCUGAGUCGAUUUGUGUUGGUAUUUUCGUUUUAUCUUUCUGAGAAAGAUUAGAUUAUUGUGUUAGUAGUGUUGGUCAUGUUGUUGUUGGUCGUGAUAUUGGUGGUUACAGACUGUGUAUAUGUCUAUUUGAUGGGAAUUUGAAACAUUGUCCGAUGAUGAUGGUUGCUUGCUACUUGGCGUGGCAACUCUGUUUGCACUCGUACCAGCGCUGAGCCGUAUUUGGCGAUGAUGAAGUGCCAUUCUGAGCCUUUUCGCUUUGUCAUGAGUCGAAUGGUUUUGUAGUUUCCGUUUUCUACAAGUUUUUUUUCGCUUUUUUACCCAUCAAUAAGUUAUUUAUUUAGAAGGUUGAAAUACAUACGUACAGGUUAUAUGUUUUGUUCAUCUUAUUCUUAUGUAUAUUUGUUUUUUAUGACAUCACACUUACAUUUGGUUAUUUAUUAAUAUAUUAAAUAGAUUAUUCUAUUUUCUUGAGAUUUGUUACGGGAAAACAUAGAAUAGUUCAAUGGCUAAUGAUUUAUUUGGCAUUUAUGGGCAACAGGUAUGUCAUGAAAUGCAAAUGAAUGACAAAUUUAGUGAUUUCUCCUGGAUCAGGGAAAACAUGUAUUAAACCGGAGCACUCGGAUCCAUGAUGACUCUCACAUCAGGAUUAUGCAGAGAUAUAAAGCCAAUAACAUACUUCUUGAUGACAAUAUUUCAACCAAGAAUUGGAGAUUUUGGGCUGGCUAGAUUUCUUCUUAAGGAUUAAGCUUAUGCAUGAAAGUUGUAUGAAAGAUCAAGAAUGGUUGACCUAAUAGAUACAAGAUUGAAGAGUGAUGGUUUUGUUGAAAGGGAUGUUAUGCAAACGAUUCGGGUAGCUCUAUUGUGUAUUCGGCUGUUCAGCCUCUUGCUAACUUGAGCCCACCAAUGCUAGAGAUUGUAUCAAUGUUAUAACAUGGAAGGUGGAAAUGGUCAAAACCACUCAGAAAGGAUCUUGGGAACCCAUAUCUGAUUAUUUCCCUUCUCCACUCGAAACAGAAUCACCCAACUUGACUCAACCUCCAAACUCUUGCAGCAAGGAAAGAAGAAUGAAAGAAUGGUAGAUAAAAAACACUAUUUGAUUGCAAGGUACUGACCCGUGUGUUAAUACAAGCAGGUAUCGUUCCACUUUAUCCCUAUGUGUAUGUGAAGAAAGUUUUAAUUUACAAAAUGUUUCUUCCUUUAAAUUCCAUAUUUGUGUAGAUAAAUUCAUGUUUUGGUUGAUUACCUUGAGAUGAUCCACACAACAUGUGGUUUGUUUGA
Molecule: long non-coding RNA, 1835 nt
Organism: Helianthus annuus (common sunflower)
Lineage: Eukaryota; Viridiplantae; Streptophyta; Magnoliopsida; Asterales; Asteraceae
Exons: 3
Source: RefSeq, a predicted model, not a curated record